Molecule: ribosomal RNA, 414 nt
Filed under: Triticum aestivum (bread wheat)
Lineage: Eukaryota; Viridiplantae; Streptophyta; Magnoliopsida; Poales; Poaceae
Description: partial small subunit ribosomal RNA
Source: RNAcentral
AUGGGCGCCGACACCUGCAGCUUGUGCACAAUGGUCCGUAACCCUCUCCUUCCUGGCACAGGAGGAGCAGGAGCAAGGAUGCCGAGGCGGUUCAGGAUUGCCAUGGGAGCUUUGGAUGGUGGUCUUGGUAUUUCGCACAGUGACAAGAGAUUUGUUCGCUUCAAGAAGGAUAAGAAGCAGCUGGGCGCUGAGAUUCACCGCAAAUACAUCUAUGAAGGUCAUGUUGCUGACUACAUGAAGUCAAUAGCUGAUGAGGAACCUAAGAAGUACCAAUCUCACUUCAGUGAGUACAUCAAGAAGAAUAUUGCGGCCGAUGACAUGGAAGCACUGUACAAGAAGGUUCAUGCUGCUAUUUGUGCUUAUCCUACCAUGGCAAAAUCAACUAAGGAACCUUCAAAGACGCACAAGAGUUAG